CGCGGUGAAGAAAGGACACUCAAAGCUUUAGAGGAAAAGGCUAGUUUUUAAGUACUUGAAUACGAAAGAAUUUCAGACAUGCGUAUUACGUUUUUCCUGUUGGUUCUGUUUCUGUUGGCCGCCAGUCUGACUGAAGCUAAUGGAAAGUUUUACGAGGAAGAAAAUGCUGAAGUUCGCCGGCUCAGGGCGCUCCAAUACCCUCGUGAUUGCAAGCGUCAGAAGCUGAUAAACUUUGCGGGAAAAUGUGGUUUCGCUGUUAAAGCUGGCAAUAAUCACCUCAAGGUGUAUGAUGGCGGUUAUCUUUUUGCGAUUAUACCACACGAUGUGAAGAGUAGCUAUUCUUGUAAAGACACCAUCGAAAAAUUGAACGAACGUUGCAUGCAUCUAAUAGACUUCUGAACCUUUUACGCCACAACGUGAUUUUCAAAGCAUUGUGGCAUCGGUUAAAUUCUGGAGAAAAUACAAGAACUUGGCCAUCUUCUGUCCCAAACAUAUCCUACAAUGCAAUCCGUAUAAGUUACAUAAAAGCUUCAGAGGUCUGUUGUCGACAUCUCGAUCUGUUAAAUGUAAGAAAUUGAGAUUUGAAUAAACUAUACUUAAGCUUC
Exaiptasia diaphana is the source of this 605-nucleotide long non-coding RNA. RefSeq lists it as uncharacterized. The transcript has 3 exons. The record is from RefSeq and is a predicted model, not a curated record. Lineage: Eukaryota; Metazoa; Cnidaria; Anthozoa; Actiniaria; Aiptasiidae.